AACCUCGCCCCAUAGUCUGGGAUACCACUUGGAAACAGGUGCUAAUACCGGAUAAGAAAGUAGAUCGCAUGAUCAGCUUUUAAAAGGCGGCGUAAGCUGUCGCUAUGGGAUGGCCCCGCGGUGCAUUAGCUAGUUGGUAAGGUAAAGGCUUACCAAGGCGAUGAUGCAUAGCCGAGUUGAGAGACUGAUCGGCCACAUUGGGACUGAGACACGGCCCAAACUCCUACGGGAGGCAGCAGUC
Molecule: ribosomal RNA, 241 nt
Filed under: uncultured Lactobacillus sp.
Lineage: Bacteria; Bacillati; Bacillota; Bacilli; Lactobacillales; Lactobacillaceae
Description: partial 16S ribosomal RNA
Rfam family: Bacterial small subunit ribosomal RNA
Source: RNAcentral